Molecule: ribosomal RNA, 254 nt
Filed under: uncultured bacterium
Lineage: Bacteria
Description: partial 16S ribosomal RNA
Rfam family: Bacterial small subunit ribosomal RNA
Source: RNAcentral
UACGUAGGGGGCAAGCGUUGUCCGGAAUCAUUGGGCGUAAAGCGCGUGUAGGCGGCUGACUAAGUCCGCUCUGAAAGCCCGGGGCUCAACCCCGGGAGGCGGGUGGAUACUGGUCAGCUCGAGUCCGGAAGAGGAGUGUGGAAUUCCUGGUGUAGCGGUGAAAUGCGCAGAUAUCAGGAAGAACACCCGUGGCGAAGGCGGCUCUCUGGGUACGUGACUGACGCUGAGACGCGAAAGCGUGGGGAGCGAACAGG